GGAGUUAGGACCGUGUCUCAGUUCCUAUGUGGGGGACCUUCCUCUCAGAACCCCUACUGAUCGGUGCCUUGGUGGGCCGUUACCCCGCCAACAAGCCUAAUCAGACGCAUCCCCAUCGACAGCCGAUGAAUCUUUAAUUGCAUCCCCAUGCAGGAACACAACCACAUCGGGUAUUAAUCCUCCUUUCAGAGGGCUAUCCCCAAGCUGACGGCAGGUUGGAUACGUGUUACUCACCCGUGCGCCGGUCGCCAUCUAUCAAAGCAAGCUUCGAUAAUGAUGCCCCUCGACUUGCAUGUGUUAAGCCUGUAGCUAGCGUUCAUCCUGAGCCAUGAUCAAAACUCU
This 342-nucleotide ribosomal RNA is filed under the name uncultured Bacteroidales bacterium. Its description in RNAcentral is "partial 16S ribosomal RNA". Lineage: Bacteria; Pseudomonadati; Bacteroidota; Bacteroidia; Bacteroidales. The record is from RNAcentral.